Oryzias latipes (Japanese medaka) is the source of this 4307-nucleotide non-coding RNA. NCBI's taxonomy places the organism in Eukaryota, Metazoa, Chordata, Actinopteri, Beloniformes, Adrianichthyidae. The record is from RefSeq and is a predicted model, not a curated record.
CUGAUGAUCCACUCGUACCGUUGGUCUUCUCCAUCAAACCAACGUUCUUGUGACCCGGGUUAGGAACGAGCUCAUGUUUAUGCUUUAUAAGUUGUUUAUGAUAAAAACUUUUCUUGUAACCAUCAAGAGUUGGAAAAACGCCGGAAGACGUGGGAAUCUCUCAGUAAAUCAUCAUCUGGAUAUUAAGAGAUUUCAGAGACUUUAGAGUUCUGUUCAUGAUCCUUUUCCAUCAGAAGCCUUGUUUUCCUGCUAAAUCCCCCUACAGUCAUGAACAGCACCCCCAAAAGGUGGAUACUGAAACCUCUGUCCCCCAUCCUGAGACCUUCAGACCUUCAGAGGAUGACUUUUCCUGCCUACCCUCUCAACUGCAGCACCUCUAGCAGCAGUAACUCCUCUCUUGUGGAAUCUUCAUUUAAGAGGGAAAGUUCCCUGGACAGAUUGGCUCAGACCAGCCAUGUUUCCAUUUUGCAAAAUGGGAACACAGAUGAUUCUGAUAAAUAUCAUCUUAGCAGUUCCGGUAGCGUUGAAUGUCCCAGCAGCUCUUCAAGCCUCCGGUGUGGGUUCUAUUCUUUUGUAGAGGAUCCCAUGAGUCCGGAAGCGAAGCAAAACGAGUCUUGGAUGGUAUCAUCUCAGCGGCAGACUUACCUUGCCACACUGAAGGAGGAGACUGGAUUCAAACUGCAGGCCUACAACGGCAUCAAAAAGCCUCAAACUCUAUUUUCUGUGGACAAAGAAGAUUUACAGUACAAAAUAGAUCCAUGCAUCUGCAUUGAAGUGAUCUGUGAGACAGAGGAAAUGCAGCUCCGAAAAGAAAUCAUUCGUAGUCAGGCACCAAGAAAGAUUCUAGCCCAGACGACACGCCUGGAGGGAAAUCUGAGCCAGUGUACAGAAACCUACAGGACUGUCCUCCAGUCCUCCAGAACAAAACCCUGUCAACCCACCCAGCCAGAGACCACGGAGAAAUAUCAGACCAACUUCAAAACUAUCAGGAAGCACUUUCUGAACAUGGAGCAGGAGAAUUUGAAAGCUCCUCUCAGCCCUGAUAGGUCCACAAAGUUCCCUCAGGUUUUAGCACUGCGGUCCAAUCUUAAUGUUCCUCUAUCGCAAAGACAGGAGGAGCAAAGCACAGGGAAAAUCAGCCCAAAUUUAGCAGCAACGGAAGAAGAUCAGCUGAACCAGCAGAAGAGGCCGCAGACAAGUCUGAGCAGACCUGAUGAGCUUGAGAGGCGCCACAGGCUGACAUCCGAACAGGAGGACGGUCGCCUCACAAGUAACCUGAACCUGUUUACAACUCAUAAAUCUGCAUUGCUUAAUGGAAGUCCCACUGGAAAGGAGAUCUUAUUACUAAAGGAAGAGAACCUGCAACGUUCUUCUGAACUGGACAACAACAGUCCAGGAGAGGAGGCUGAAAUGAAAAGUAAAUGUUCAUCAUCCUAUCUUUCCCCCAGAGACACUAAAUUUGUUGGUCAAAACCUUAAAAAAGAGAAUGACACGCAGAAUCUAGAGGAGCAGGAUCAUCAACACCAUGAAAUUCCAGAGCAAAGUCCCUUAAGGGGAAAUGCUGACAGGACUGAUAACAUAGAAACUGAAGAUAAGCCACAGGUGGAAUCUGGAACAGGUGACAGUUUCCCAUUUCCUUGCUGUCCACAUCGUCAUCAUGAAGAAUCAAAGUUCUGUCGAUCAAAUGUUGCUGCUUCCUCCCGUUCUGAAGGUGAUAGUGAGGUCUGGAACGCAAUGUGCUUUCAAAAAGACCCAGCUCCCUAUUUUACCUCAGCGCCCUAUCUCCCUUCAUUUCCAUCCCUAAAGUCAACACCUCACUGUGAAUCAGACUCUAGGGGACCGGCACCUCUAAACUUAAUUAAGAAAGAGAUCCAAGAGGUUCUAAAACGAGAACAAGAACUAAAAGAGAUGAUGGAGUCCAGAAAAGUGAUCCGCCAACAACUCCUGUCUCCAGCUUCUCUGGUGGAAACGGCAAACAUGAUGGCUGUCAGACAGUUCUACCCCCAACCAAACAAGGAAAAACUAGUAAGUUUUUCCUCCUCAUCUGCCUGUCCUUCUGGCCAUGUGACCUCCGAUUCCUCCAAUGCCCAUCAGCGUUGGACAACCUCCUCCAGGGUCCAGCAGGUUCCACCAAGUCUGCAAAGUCUGACCGAGAUUCCAGUGCAGGACUUUGAGGGGCAUCAAGCCAAGCUGAGGUUGGAAGAAAGCUCAUAUGGAGGGAUCCUGCUGGUUGACAACAUUAACAACAAGGUGCAGACUGCCGUUCACAUUGACCCUAAAGGUUUCAAAACUGGUCCUUGACUGAAAACUACAAACACCAGCACUGCUGAUCUUCAAAGUCCCAUUCUGAUCAUCUUUUGAUCUAUUUUCAGAGUGUUCCUGGUGGUCUUUUAAUGAUGAUGAUACAGUUUUUAGCAAAAACCCAAAAAUCUGUGUCGUUUUCUGGGACAUAGUUUCUGCAGAGCAGCAGGAGUUCAUGAAAAAGUCACCUCUGAGUUGUGGGCGGGACUGUGGGGGCAGAAGUAAGCCUCUGCUUCUUUCCCAUCAUCCCUUUGUUUACACUCUCUUAGGCUAAUAUACAGCCCCUCACUCAAGUAGAUGCAUCAGAAUGGAGCAGAGGAGGGAGACCCAAUCCCCAGCUAAAUGAGUCUGGAAGGAUGAUUGUGGAAGUGAAAUGUUUUGCACUGUUUGUGUGUUUUCUACUUAAAAACUGAGAGCUUUUCAAUUUGCAUUUUUCCUCUGCUCCUGAUGCACCUCAAUUUGAAUAAAGCAAUACUAGGUAACACAGUUUGAAGUUGAUUUUUUUAUAUGUUCUCUAGCAUGGUAGCGCAGAGAAAGUGAGAAAGUCCUUGUUCAAAUCCCGGUUGAAACCGUUCAGUGUGGAGUUUGCAUUCGUAGGCACUCCAGCCUAAAGGACCCAGGUGUGCCUAAAACCGCUACUAGUGCGUGCCCACCCGUUAUCGCAUUGGUGCGCCCCACUAUUUGAGAAGCACUGCUCUAAAGCAAAGAUGUCCAACUCUAGGUCUCCAGGCCAACCUCCUGCUGGUUUUCCAGAAAUCUACUGCUGAUUGCCUGGAUGGAUCAGGUCAUUGAGUCCACAAGAGUUGUUCGACAAAAAAACCGGCAAGCUCUGCGUUGGGAGGCUGGCGUGUUCACCAACAAGGAGAAGUAAAGAGUCUGUCCAAAAACACUGAGUGGAGACAGCUGCAUCUGAAGCCAAUACUUUUGGGGUGCACACUCACACCUCUUGGCCCUAAAACUACACACUUGUGGCAUCAUACAUGGCCACAGAAGGUUGAGCUGUUCUGCAGCAAAACAAACCUAAAGAAAAAACUGAAGAAGUAAAACAAAUGUCUUUAAUGUGUUCUGUUGUUUGAGAAAAUGAAAUGAGCUUUUUUAGAGGUUGUAACCAGCAGAAAUAAUUUUUGCCACUGAUUUCAAACUUUUAUUUUGUUCAUGUGCUCUGCUGUUUUGAACAAGCUUGGAUGCGAUGCUUGUAAAAAAACUGCUGUUUAUUACGUAUUUCAAAUUGCUUGAUUGCUUGCUUUAACAAAGAUCAGGUCAUACACCACUGUUUUUUCAUCAACAGAAUCAAAUUCAUUAUUUGGUUGAUGUAUGAAAGAUGUUAGGUUAAAGGCCUUUUGAUGGGACAACACUGACUCUUGUUGCUGAUUGCUUUUAUUAGCUUUACAAAGUCUGAACUCUUAAAUAUUGUUUAAAUAUUUAAUUUUAAUGUCACUUAAUAUCUGAACAUUAAAAACUGUUUGAAAUAAAUGACACAUUUUUAAGAGAUUAACUCAAUCUGCUCUUGUCAUUUGUAGAACAUUGUAUUUAUUUAUUACAAGAAACAGAAGGCUGAACAAUGUUCUACACAGCAGAUAGAAGAGGAGGAAAUUGUAGUGAAGAAGUUUCUUUCAAAAAAGUAGAGAAAAAAAGUAGAGAAAUGUUCUCAAUAACUGUGGAGGUCUCUUGUCGAUCCUGUUUUAACACCUUUGCCCACAAAACUAGUGUUAUGGCAGGUGGGUGGAAGGUGGAAUCCAAAUGUGGACACGGCUUUGUGGGUAGCAAAUUUUCAUUUUAAACUGGUGGAGUGAGAGAGAUAGAGGCAGAGAGGCAGGAUGGGAGGAUCAGAGCACAUAAGAAUAACUUUCGGCUCUGCUAAAGCUGUCAACAUUGUUACCAGAGGUGAACGAUAGUCUGGUGUCGGCUGGAGGUCCAUCUGAAGAAUAUGUAGAGUGGCUGAUGAGGUGCAGGUGUGUGAUCAGGAGGAGGUGCAGGUGUGUGAUCAGGAGGAGGGACAGGUGUGU